CACGUUACACACUAAAUCAUAGCCAAUGAGGUUUAUCCGAGGCAUGAUUAUUGCUAAUUGAAAAACUAACUUGAUAAACUUAGAACAAAUCACUUCUCUUUAUUUAUAAA
This 110-nucleotide small nuclear RNA is filed under the name Tupaia belangeri chinensis (Chinese tree shrew). RNAcentral describes it as "Tupaia chinensis (Chinese tree shrew) U4 spliceosomal RNA". The stretch from base 16 to 110 matches the Rfam family "U4 spliceosomal RNA", at positions 20 to 115 of the family's 138-position model. Rfam says of the family: U4 small nuclear RNA (U4 snRNA) is a component of the major U2-dependent spliceosome. The structure of U4 snRNA from yeast and human has been reported. The record is from Rfam by way of RNAcentral. Lineage: Eukaryota; Metazoa; Chordata; Mammalia; Scandentia; Tupaiidae.